Molecule: long non-coding RNA, 4170 nt
Filed under: Octopus vulgaris (common octopus)
Lineage: Eukaryota; Metazoa; Mollusca; Cephalopoda; Octopoda; Octopodidae
Source: RNAcentral
CAUGCAAAACAAAAAUAAUUUAUUCUCUCAAUGCCAUGGAACGUAGAUGUUUGACCAAUCUACAUAGAAAAAGAAUAGAAUGAUUGUACAGUUUUGUUUUUGGUGGUUUUAAUAUUUUUAUUUAAUUUAUUUGUGUCCAUUAUCUCAGUCCAAAUUACGUUGAUCUGAAAAGAGAGAGAGAGAGAGGAAGAGGAAGAGAGACAGAAAGAGAGAGAGAUGUAUAUUGUUAUUAUUUUUACUGCACCAGAUCAGAAAUUGUCAAGCUACCAGAAGAAUGUGACAAAGGUCUGUUGUGUAUCAAUCACCACAGUGGCUACUGUCUUGAAGUAACUGGAUUUUAAAGACAUCAGUUAUGAACACUUGAAAAGAUCUCUGGAAUUCCAGUCAGAGAUCUUUCGCAAUAUAAACUAAAAUACAGCAAGGAGCUUUAGGAGAGCAGAUGGAGAAUAUUUUCCUUGAAUUAUAAUUUCAAGUUGUAAAUUAAAGCUGUCGACAUUACUCAUCACCAGUCCUUCCAUAUGUACUCCGUUCUCUCAGAUUAAAACAAACUAUGGUUCUGUGACAUUCUGCACAGAUAUCCAGUACUAACAUGAACGAAAUAUGAUCUUGGGAUCCCAUGGAUUGAUGCUUUAUUUAUGAGGUCGUUGCUACACAGUUUAGUUAUAUAGCAGAUGUUAAAUACAAUGUGACUGAUGUUGUAUGUGAGAGAGUAAGCAUACAUGGUCAAAAUAGGUAACCAAUGGUUUUUGAUAGUGUGUAUGAAGAGAACAAAAAUCCUGACUAGAUUCAUUACUCUAACCAAUUUAGGAGUAAUAAAACUCAUCAAUAAAUAAAACUGUGUCAUAUCAUUAAUAUCUGAUGAAAAGGGCAGCAAGCUGGCAGAAUUGUUAGCACACAAGGCAAAGUGCUUAGUGGUAUUUCAUCUGCCAUUAUGUUCUGAGUUCAAAUUCCACCAAGGUCGACUUUACCUUUCAUCCUUUCAGGGUCAAUUAAAUAAGUACCAGUUAUGCACUGGAGUCGAUAUCAUCGACUUAAUCCCUUUGCCUGUCCUUGUUUGUCCCCUCUAUGUUUAGCCCCCUGUGGGCAAUAAAGAAAUAAAUUAAUAUCUGAUGAAAGAACAGAACUGCAGCAAUAAAAUACAUAUUAGCAAUUAAAAUAUUUUUUAAAAACCUAUAUAUAAAAACAAAGCAUAAAGUAAAAACCACUAAGAUAGACAAAACUCUAAAAACUGAUUUCUAAUAUAGAAACAAUCUUAUGGGAUUUGAACAUGGAAUAUAAUGGGAUGUGCCACUGAUUUUGGCAUUUCAACUGAUUAAAUAAUUAUAUUUAAGAGGAAAGUAGAAUCUGCUAAAUCAUGCCAAGUACUUUACAGGGACGUAAACACACCACCAUUGGUUGUCAAGUGAUGUUGGGGGGGGGGGGGGCAAACACAGACACAAACAUAUAUAUAUAUAUAUAUAUAUACGACGGGCUUCUUUCAGUUUCCGUCUACCAAAUCUACUCACAAGGCUUUGGUCAGCCCGAGGCUAUAGUGGAAGACACUUACCCAAAGUGCCAUGCAGUGGGAAUGAACCCAGAACCAUGUGGUUGGUAAGCAAGCUACUGCACCUACUUAUUAAAUUGACCCCAGAAGGAUAAAAAGCAAAGCUGACCACAAUCAUAUUAGAAACUCUGUUGUUUUUAUUUGUUACUCGUCAAAUAAUUGAUAAGAAUUUAUAAUAUAGGCACAUGAUCAGAAAUUCAAGAGUGGUGGGGUAGUUGAUUAAACCGAGGGCAAUUUUUGACUGGUGCUUUAUUUUAGUAACCCCAGUGGGAUGAAAGGUUAAGCUGAAUUAGGCAGGAUUUGAACCCAGAACAUAAAGGGCUGGAACAAAUAGUGCAAGCACUUUGUCCCAUGUCAAUCUAUGGUAUUUUCAAAGACUGAAAACGUGUGUCUAUGUGUCUGUUAUUCAUCAGUUACAAGAUUCAGAAUUGAAGAUAGUUAAACAGGGAAAAAGAACAAGGGACAAAUGUAUCUUUAACAUAAACCCACACAUAUUAAAUAUUUCUAACCUGUUAUUUACAAACUAUUAUUAAAAACUUUAUCUACUUUUAAGUUCCUCCGUCAAAAACCAAUAUAUAUAACUUAAAUGAUGCAAAGUAUUAACCUGGGACAACAUUAUCUCAUGUGUGUGUGUUUUCCUUUUUCUAAAAUGAUAGCGUACCAUUAGUGGAAAAUUUGGCUGGAUGAACAACUGCAUAAGAGGUUCUUGUGUUCAUGGAAGCAUGGAAGUGAUUGUAUAAACACAAAAUGGUCUAAAAUGGGAAAGCUAGCUCAUUAAGUCCUUUGAAGAUAUAUUUCUGACAGAAAUAUUUUCUAAUUAAAAAAAGAAAAGAAAAGAAAACAAACAAUACACAUAACUAUGUGAAUUGUCUCAAAAUAAUUUUCUGCUUAAAAAACCCCAGAUUUUAAGAAUUACUGAAAUACAAUACACAACCCUUUGUUAAAAACUAGAAAUAAAUAUGAUGGGGAUGGGAAAGAAAAGAGAAAGGCUUUUAGGUUUGAUGUUGUGAAAUUGAUGGAGUGAUUCAUGGAAUUUAUAUGAUUAAGGUAAACAAAAUUAUGAGACCCAAUACAUACUUUCAGCCUGACUGGGAUAAUCUACUGAACUGAUUGAUUUACAAUAAGGAAUAGUGUAACACUUCAAAUGAGCAUCUCUGUCAUACAGACAAUGUUUUCUGUUUCCAAUCUUCCAUGAAAGCAUAUCUGGCCAUGGAGAGAUAUUACCUUACUUGGAAACAGGUGAUGGUUGGCAACAGGAAGGGCUUCCAGACACAGAAAACCUGCUUCAAUGAAUUCUGUCUGACCCAUGCAAACAUGGAAAAGUAAACAUUAAAAUGAUGAUGAUGAUAACAGAAUAAUAUUGUUGUGUAGCCCCAAGUUAACCCUGAAUGAACAGACCCACAAUCAAAGGUGUUCCAGCUAUGACCAUCCCCUCUUAUUCUAUACCAGGGACCACAUUGUCCAAUAUGUCAUUUAAAAUGGGUAGAGUGUAGUUUGAGGGAGAUCUGGCUGUACUAUUUCAAAUCAGUCUGACAAUCGCAAAAAGAACAUCAUCUUUGGCUUCUAGUAGAGUACUAUGUUUCAGAUGUCUCUUUGACAAUGUGAAAUUCAGCAUUAUGCAAUAUUCAAUAUCUAAAUGAUCUGAGAGGAAUGACACAAAUCAUAACAAAUCCUCAGACUGCUGCUGCAUGGUGCCUUGUGUUUCGCCUAAUCCUUCAUGAAAGAGGACCAUGUAGUGAAAUAGUUUUAGUUUCAAAGUACCACAACUUUUUGGUAUUGACCCCUCAAAACUAAAGUGAUAUGCAUGGCAUGGAUGUCAACACUUUCCAAAUCAUAGUGAAGUCAUGUUGGGACCAGCCAGACAACUGUUCCCUUCUCAGUCAAUCGUCUUAAAAGGAAAACAAAUGGAUAGAUAACACAACACACACACACUUUCAUACUCAUCUAGCGACAACUACAAAUCAUUAAAAAGUUAAUUUUAUUUUUGGAAUGUUCCAGUCUCAUGAUGAUGAGUAAAAUGGAAUGAGAAAUAGGUGAAGAUGAAUAAAUAAAUAAAAACUUACUAGUAAACCUCAAAAAAAAAAAAAAAAAAGGAAAAACUGUGAGUCAUUAGGUUGCAUACAGAAUCUAUUUUAACCAAUAUCUUAAAGAUUUCAAAUGUCAAGAACAAAAUGGUGAGGAAUUUCUUUUAAUUUUGUCAGGGCAUAAUCAGAGGUGGCAAGGGACUAAGCCCAUCAUUUAUUUGGUUGGGCUGCCAAAUCUAGAAGAAAUCAAAACAACUCAUGGGUUAUUCUUAGACUGGAGACCUGAUCCAAAUGUUUGCUACAAGCUGGAUUCCACAAAAGACACCAAUGGGUGGAGUACUAGCAUUUAACCCUUUCUUUACCAACCCGGCUGAAACCGGCCCUAGCUCUGAGUACAAAUGUCUUGUUUUCAUAAGUUUUUAAUUAAAAUCUUCCACCAAACCCAAGUCAUAAUUUAUGUUCCUGACACUAGCUGAAUGAUAACUAAGUUAUUUUUACUAAAUUCUUUGUUAUAUUCAAAGUAAUUUAAAGAAACACAGAGCAUCUCAACAGAAAUAUGGUAACAAAAAGGUUAAGCUGGCCAUAUCCAGUCAAAAUAUUCGA